CCUACGGGCGGCAGCAGUGGGGAAUAUUGCACAAUGGGGGAAACCCUGAUGCAGCGACGCCGCGUGAAGGAAGAAGUAUUUCGGUAUGUAAACUUCUAUCAGCAGGGAAGAAAAUGACGGUACCUGACUAAGAAGCCCCGUCUAACUACGUGCCAGCAGCCGCGGUAAUACGUAGGGGGCAAGCGUUAUCCGGAUUUACUGGGUGUAAAGGGAGCGUAGGCGGUUUAGCAAGUCAGUAGUGAAAGCCCGGGGCUAAACCCCGGGACUGCGUUUGAAACUGUGGGACUAGAGUGCAGGAGAGGUAAGUGGAAUUCCUGGUGUAGCGGUGAAAUGCGUAGAUAUUAGGAGGAACACCAGUGGCGAAGGCGGCUUACUGGACUGUAAAUGACGCUGAGGCUCGAAAGCGUGGGGAGCAAACAGGAUUAGAUACCCCUGUAGUC
This 440-nucleotide ribosomal RNA is filed under the name uncultured bacterium. RNAcentral describes it as "partial 16S ribosomal RNA". It matches the Rfam family "Bacterial small subunit ribosomal RNA", at positions 338 to 795 of the family's 1533-position model. The record is from RNAcentral.